AGAAUGAACGUUGGCGGCGUGGAUUAGGCAUGCAAGUCGUACGGGCCGCAAGGCCAGUGGCGCAAGGGUGAGUAAGGCGACGGUAACCAACCCCGUGAUUGGGUAUAGCCGCGGGAAACUGCGGGUAAUCCCCAGCGACGUCCGGGAGGGGCAUCCCCUCCGGACCAAAGCCCCGGCGUCGCGGGACGGGCCGUCGUGCUAUUAGCUCGUUGGCGGGGUAACGGCCCACCAAGGCGAUGAUGGCUACCGGGCGUGCGAGCGUGGCCCGGCACACUGGGACUGAGACACUGCCCAGACUCCUACGGGAGGCUGCAGUCGAGAAUCUUCGGCAAUGGGCGCAAGCCUGACCGAGCGACGCCGCGUGGAGGACGAAGGCCUUCGGGUUGUAAACUCCUGUCGAGGGGGAAGAAGGUCCGCAAGGGCUUGACUGAUCCCUGGAGGAAGCACGGGCUAAGUUCGUGCCAGCAGCCGC
This 472-nucleotide ribosomal RNA is filed under the name uncultured bacterium. RNAcentral's name for it is "SSU rRNA". It matches the Rfam family "Bacterial small subunit ribosomal RNA", at positions 26 to 518 of the family's 1533-position model. The record is from RNAcentral.